This 771-nucleotide ribosomal RNA is filed under the name uncultured Neocallimastigales. RNAcentral describes it as "partial large subunit ribosomal RNA". It matches the Rfam family "Eukaryotic large subunit ribosomal RNA", at positions 24 to 645 of the family's 3401-position model. The record is from RNAcentral. Lineage: Eukaryota; Fungi; Neocallimastigomycota; Neocallimastigomycetes; Neocallimastigales.
GUAGUCUCGCACAGAUGCAUAUCAAUAAGCGGAGGAAAAGAAACUAACAAGGAUUCCCUCAGUAACGGCGAGUGAAGCGGGAAGAGCUCAAAUUUGAAAUCUUGAAAGGUCACCUUUCACGAAUUGUAGUUUAAAGAAGUGUUUUCUGUUACGAUCGUAAUAUAAGUUCUUUGGAAUAGGACAUCACAGAGGGUGAGAAUCCCGUCUAUGAUUGCGAUUUGUAGCUUUGUGAUACACUUUCAAAGAGUCGGGUUGUUUGGGAAUGCAGCCCAAAACGGGAGGUAAAUUUCUUCUAAGGCUAAAUAUUGGCGAGAGACCGAUAGCGAACAAGUACCGUGAGGGAAAGAUGAAAAGAACUUUGAAAAGAGAGUUAAAUAGUACGUGAAAUUGUCAAAAGGGAAGCGUUUAACACCAGUGUUGUUUUCUGAAAAUCAACCUCUGUUAGCUUUAUGCAUGUUUGUUUAGACCUAAUCAGCUAUCUUGCAUGUUCUAUUGUUUGCAGUGGUGCACUUUUCAGUUUACAGGUCAACAUCAGUUUUUUUUACCGUAAAAAAGUUAAAGAAAGGUAGCUCAUGGCUCCGGUCGUGAGUGUUAUAGUCUUUUUCCUAUGCGGUAGGAGAGACUGAGGUCUGCAGUGUAGGCUAUUUGGCUAGAUACUCAGGUGCUAUGUGAUACCAUUUCAUAAACAACUUGUUGAUUAUGUUUUGUCUAUUGCAUACUCGCUUGUACUAUCAUACCUACGCUUAGGAUGUUGACGCAUGAGAUAUACGC